RNAcentral lists this ribosomal RNA (467 nucleotides) under uncultured bacterium. RNAcentral's name for it is "partial 16S ribosomal RNA". It matches the Rfam family "Bacterial small subunit ribosomal RNA", at positions 28 to 506 of the family's 1533-position model. The record is from RNAcentral.
GACGAACGCUGGCGGCGUGCUUAACACAUGCAAGUCGAACGGAAAGGCCCUGCUUUUGUGGGGUGCUCGAGUGGCGAACGGGUGAGUAACACGUGAGUAACCUGCCCUUGACUUUGGGAUAACUUCAGGAAACUGGGGCUAAUACCGGAUAGGAGCUCCUGCUGCAUGGUGGGGGUUGGAAAGUUUCGGCGGUUGGGGAUGGACUCGCGGCUUAUCAGCUUGUUGGUGGGGUAGUGGCUUACCAAGGCUUUGACGGGUAGCUGGCCUGAGAGGGUGACCGGCCACAUUGGGACUGAGAUACGGCCCAGACUCCUACGGGAGGCAGCAGUGGGGAAUAUGGCACAAUGGGCGGAAGCCUGAUGCAGCAACGCCGCGUGCGGGAUGACGGCCUUCGGGUUGUAAACCGCUUUCGCCUGUGACGAAGCGUGAGUGACGGUAAUGGGUAAAGAAGCACCGGCUAACUACGU